GAUGAACGCUGGCGGCGUGCCUAAUACAUGCAAGUCGAGCGAACGGACGAGAAGCUUGCUUCUCUGAUGUUAGCGGCGGACGGGUGAGUAACACGUGGAUAACCUACCUAUAAGACUGGGAUAACUUUGGGAAACCGGAGCUAAUACCGGAUAAUAUUUUGAACCGCAUGGUUCAAAAGUGAAAGACGGUCCUGCUGUCACUUAUAGAUGGAUCCGCGCUGCAUUAGCUAGUUGGUAAGGUAACGGCUUACCAAGGCAACGAUGCAUAGCCGACCUGAGAGGGUGAUCGGCCACACUGGAACUGAGACACGGUCCAGACUCCUACGGGAGGCAGCAGUAGGGAAUCUUCCGCAAUGGGCGAAAGCCUGACGGAGCAACGCCGCGUGAGUGAUGAAGGUCUUCGGAUCGUAAAACUCUGUUAUUAGGGAAGAACAUAUGUGUAAGUAACUGUGCACAUCUUGACGGUACCUAAUCAGAAAGCCACGGCUAACUACGUG
This 497-nucleotide ribosomal RNA is filed under the name uncultured bacterium. RNAcentral's name for it is "partial 16S ribosomal RNA". It matches the Rfam family "Bacterial small subunit ribosomal RNA", at positions 28 to 507 of the family's 1533-position model. The record is from RNAcentral.